AGUUUUUUUAAUCAUUAGAAAAUAUAAUCUGCCCAUUGAAAAUAUUUUUUUUUAAAAGGCCGCAGUAUAUUGACUGUGCAAAGGUAGCAUAAUCAUUAGAUUUUUAAUUGGGAUCUUGAAUGAAUGGUUAAAUGAAAUAUAAACUUUUUUAAUUUUAUUAUUUGAAUUUUAUUUAUAAGUAAAAAAUCUUAUUUUAAAAAAUGGGACGAGAAGACCCUAUAGAAUUUUAUAAAUUUGAUUAAUUUAUUAUUAAUAUUUAAUUUAUUAUUUUAAAUUUUAUUUUGUUGGGGAGAUAGUUAAAUUUUUAAAACUUUAAUAAAAAAAAUCAUUUAUUAAUGUUAAAUUGAUCCUUUUAUAUUGAUUAUAAAAUUAAAUUACCUUAGGGAUAACAGCAUAAUAAUUUUAAUAAGUUCUUAUUUUUAAAGUAGUUUAUGACCUCGAUGUUGAAUUAAAAUAAUUAUUUUAUGAAGGGAUAAAAUAAAUAAGUCUGUUCGAC
RNAcentral lists this ribosomal RNA (496 nucleotides) under Asiodiplosis delicatula. RNAcentral's name for it is "partial large subunit ribosomal RNA". The record is from RNAcentral. Lineage: Eukaryota; Metazoa; Arthropoda; Insecta; Diptera; Cecidomyiidae.